Molecule: ribosomal RNA, 430 nt
Filed under: Theileria annulata
Lineage: Eukaryota; Apicomplexa; Aconoidasida; Piroplasmida; Theileriidae
Description: SSU rRNA
Rfam family: Eukaryotic small subunit ribosomal RNA
Source: RNAcentral
UGACACAGGGAGGUAGUGACAAGAAAUAACAAUACGGGGCUUAAAGUCUUGUAAUUGGAAUGAUGGGAAUUUAAACCUCUUCCAGAGUAUCAAUUGGAGGGCAAGUCUGGUGCCAGCAGCCGCGGUAAUUCCAGCUCCAAUAGCGUAUAUUAAAAUUGUUGCAGUUAAAAAGCUCGUAGUUGAAUUUCUGCUGCAUUGCUUGUGUCCCUCUGGGGUCUGUGCAUGUGGCUUUUUUCGGACGGAGUUUCUUUGUCUGAAUGUUUACUUUGAGAAAAUUAGAGUGCUCAAAGCAGGCUUUCGCCUUGAAUAGUUUAGCAUGGAAUAAUAAAGUAGGACUUUGGUUCUAUUUUGUUGGUUUUAGGUACCAAAGUAAUGGUUAAUAGGAACAGUUGGGGGCAUUCGUAUUUAACUGUCAGAGGUGAAAUUCUUA